This 107-nucleotide small nucleolar RNA is filed under the name Gossypium arboreum. RNAcentral's name for it is "Plant small nucleolar RNA R71". It matches the Rfam family "Plant small nucleolar RNA R71". From Rfam's summary of the family: R71 is a member of the C/D box family of snoRNAs containing the C (UGAUGA) and D (CUGA) box motifs. Multiple nearly identical copies of this snoRNA have been identified in Arabidopsis, and it is thought to function as a 2'-O-ribose methylation guide for 18S ribosomal RNA. Lineage: Eukaryota; Viridiplantae; Streptophyta; Magnoliopsida; Malvales; Malvaceae. The record is from Rfam by way of RNAcentral.
AAACCAUGCAUUGGGAAUUUUCUGAUUAACUACUUGAAUCACUCCUAUGUUUCAUAUAAUGUUUCAUCCUCAGAUUGUCAAAAGGACGUAAUAUCAUUCCUCAGUUU